RNAcentral lists this non-coding RNA (76 nucleotides) under Parolsenella massiliensis. Its description in RNAcentral is "aspS RNA". It matches the Rfam family "aspS RNA". The record is from RNAcentral. Lineage: Bacteria; Bacillati; Actinomycetota; Coriobacteriia; Coriobacteriales; Atopobiaceae.
UCACGCUGUCUACGGGGCCGUUCGCCGUCUGAUGGCUUGCCAUCCGCCCCGACACGGGAUGGCACAGACGAGAGGA